Long non-coding RNA from Apis dorsata (giant honeybee), 488 nucleotides. RefSeq lists it as uncharacterized. NCBI's taxonomy places the organism in Eukaryota, Metazoa, Arthropoda, Insecta, Hymenoptera, Apidae. The record is from RefSeq and is a predicted model, not a curated record. The transcript is spliced from 2 exons.
AUAUACCAUUUGUUUUUUAGCAAAAUUAUUUCUCCUGAAAUGACAUUUUCUUAAUCAUUAUAUUAGCAUAUUAUAUAAAAUCGACGUAUAUUUAUUUACGCAAUGGUCAUUAGCCAUCGUCAGUCGAUUUCAGGAAAAGGGUACGUAAAGUUAGAGUGUGAAAGUAGCGUGCCAAGCUCGGGUGUCGGAAGCGUCCCGGGACGUUUUUCCUAGUGUAGGUUUUUGCACCCGAGUAUUAUGCGUGAGAAUCGUGGACUGAAUGUGUUGGGUAUUUGACUGGGAAUAAAAAUUAUACAACAUAACUUUAAGCUACACGGAUGAUAUUUAACAUUGAUGGAACAAAAUGUGUAUAUAAUUCAAUGCAUGAAUAAUUAAUUGUGUGAUAAUGUGUAAUUAAUUAAUUGUGUGUUAGUAUGUGCUAAUUAAUUAUAUAGAAUAAUGUAGUAUAAGUAAGUAAAAAAUGAGUAAUGUAUUGUUUAUUUAUUCUA